Molecule: non-coding RNA, 45 nt
Filed under: Trichobilharzia regenti
Lineage: Eukaryota; Metazoa; Platyhelminthes; Trematoda; Strigeidida; Schistosomatidae
Source: RNAcentral
AUCCAGCUGACGAGUUCCAAAUAGGGCGAAAGGCACAACCUGGAU